This 253-nucleotide ribosomal RNA is filed under the name uncultured bacterium. Its description in RNAcentral is "partial 16S ribosomal RNA". It matches the Rfam family "Bacterial small subunit ribosomal RNA", at positions 524 to 776 of the family's 1533-position model. The record is from RNAcentral.
UACGUAGGGUGCGAGCGUUGUCCGGAAUUAUUGGGCGUAAAGGGCUCGUAGGCGGUCUGUCACGUCGGGAGUGAAAACCCGGGGCUCAACUCCGGGCCUGCAUUCGAUACGGGCAGACUAGAGUUCGGUAGGGGAGACUGGAAUUCCUGGUGUAGCGGUGAAAUGCGCAGAUAUCAGGAGGAACACCGGUGGCGAAGGCGGGUCUCUGGGCCGAUACUGACGCUGAGGAGCGAAAGCGUGGGGAGCGAACAGG